This 334-nucleotide long non-coding RNA is filed under the name Coffea arabica (coffee). Its description in RNAcentral is "long non-coding RNA (CARA_LNC003406)". The record is from RNAcentral. Lineage: Eukaryota; Viridiplantae; Streptophyta; Magnoliopsida; Gentianales; Rubiaceae.
GGACCAAAAGCCUCACGAGAGACAUCGUAGAAUUUAGGAUUGCAUUUUCCUUUCCGUUUUGCAUUCAUAUAGUCAUAUCCAACGUGCGAACAUACAUUGGGUAGAAAAAUUAGGAAAAUUGGUUUAAGUCACGCAACUAGCCUUGGCUAGGUCGAAGGGGUGCCUUGGAUUUUUAUCCUUGCCUUCCCCUUCGUCAAAUGUGACCCCCGAUCCCUCUUUUGGUUACGCAGACCCAAAAGUUCUCAAAAAGGGUUUAUUUACUUUUUUUUAUUCAAACACAAAAAUCAUUUUUGGGUGACUUGGUACACCCUAACUCUAUACCAAGUGGCGACUC